This is a long non-coding RNA of Triticum aestivum (bread wheat), 2643 nucleotides long. RefSeq lists it as uncharacterized. The transcript is spliced from 2 exons. Lineage: Eukaryota; Viridiplantae; Streptophyta; Magnoliopsida; Poales; Poaceae. The record is from RefSeq and is a predicted model, not a curated record.
UUAAGAAAACGUUUCGUUUUUACAAAGAGGACCCUGUAACUUGUAUAUUCAACCCGCGGUCUAGAGUCCAAGCGUCUGGUUUUAUUAGUAUUAGUCAGGACCAAGUCAAUGCGAUGCCGCGGCGGUGCGAUGCAGAACGGGGGCGGUGGAUGGAGAUUGCAGGGGCCGGAUCCGUGUACGGCAGGGCCUAGGGAGGCGGAUCCGCAGGUGGACGGCUCGGCAGUUAUCGCCGGUGAUGACGAGGAAGGCCGGAGCGUGGUUUUCCGGGCGGAUCCAUGGCGUCGAGGGCUGUUGGUCAGAGAGGAGACAAGGAGGUGAGGGAGAGAAGAAGGGACAAAGGAGGAGUGGUGCCGCGACCUAGGAAGGAGCUUGCCGGAGCCGAGCGAGCGACGACGGACGGGCGCGGGAGACGGAGGGAUCCGGUGCUGCGGCGCGAAUCCUGCCACAGGUGCGAGCCGCUGGUCUUCUAGGACCACCCCUUACGACGACAUUGGCGUCAACGGCUAGGCGCACGACGGCCCAGCGCCCUCCCGUUGCUACAACGCGUGGCGGAGUGCCGUGAGGCCGCGGAUGCUGCUGCUACACCCGCACCACCAGCCCAAGGUCAGUCUCCCUUGCUCUAUAGCGCAACUCCCGCCUAACACCAUGUUGGCUUACUUCUGCCCCUCUGGUUUGGAGAGUGUGCGCUCUCAGCUCUGCUGGGCCGGCCGUGCUCUCUUGCUGAUUCUUAUCUGCAGCUCCAACAUGAAAGCCUACAAAUCAACUCUUGAGAUUUGUCUUCAAAAUAGGAUUUUUUUACUAUGACAUACUCACCAAAGUUACAUGAUGUGCAGUUUAGAAAGUUGAUUACUGGGGAACUUUUACUACAUGUCCAGUUAUGGUUUCAUGAUAAAAGGAUCAUGCACCAAAUGUUUGUUGAAUUGCUGUUUCAAGAAAAUGUAUGGAGUUUUCAUUGCGUGCUUCAAGUCAUUAACCAGGUAGAAUAAAUCCUAUAAGCUGUUCUUACCAUACAAUCUUUUGAACCAAUUUUUGUAAACUUAGUACAAUAUGAUUAUUGUUUUUGUAGGCUUUUCUAUAGAUAUAUUUGAGCUAUUAAAAAUGUGAUUAUAUCAUUUGUCAUCUGAAAACCAGACUCAUUUAUACAUAAUGGGACAUAAUGUCCAGAAAAUAGUCACCAGGUACAAACAUCACUCUUGACCUACAUUGUACAACAUUGCAUAAUUUUCUGUUUUUCUUGAGGUACCGCUCAGUAAUUUUUUAUCGCAUACAUAGAUAGGACAAAGGUCACAAGAGCUGAUUUUGUGCACCUUGCUGCAUGUGCACUCACUUAUUUAAGAUAUUCAAAGUGUGAGCUUUUGAAAUUUCCAAAAAUAAGUCAGAUUUUCAUUAUUAACCCAUGUGCACAUGCAAUGCUUUCUGACUCUCUGACAAUUGUCUUUCAGAAUAAUUUGAUGAACCACCAUGUCACCCUUCUGCUUGGUUCCAUGGGAAAGCAAUUUACAAAGCUCCAGUUGGUCAAUACAGCCUUGAUUCCAUGUUUUCUACCACUGCUUAACUUUAUUUGAAAAACUGUUGUUGUUAUGUAUGUAGGAUACAAUAUAGAGUUGUAUGCAGGAUAUAGUACUAGCGUUGGAAUUUCAGGGCAUCCAAAAAGAACAUAGUAUGCUUCAACCCAUGUUUUCUACCAUUGCUUACCUUUAUUUGAAAAACUAUUGUUGCUAUGUAUGCAAGAUACAAUACUAGAGUUGGAAUAUCAGGGUAUCCAAAAAGAAUUUACUAUGCUUCAGGUAAGAAAGUUAAUUUGUUUGACUUUUGUAAGGACUAAAUUACUAGCUUAAUGCAUGGAACUUAUUGAGCUGCAGUCAUGGCAUGUGCUUACAUAGAGACCUUCAUUCUGUGGAUACACCUCUUCUUAUAGGACAGGUUGUCUACGAAUUAUCCUGAGGUUCAAUUUCCAUAAUAAAUUGUGUGUUUUUAUUUAUCAUGGUUUCUCCUCCUGCAUGACCAAAAUUUCCAGAUGUUGUUUUAUCAUUUCCUUCCGACACCAUUAAAUCUCAAUCUUACCUAUGUUGAAAUGGUUCCAGCGUGUGCGUGAUGCAUUGCUCCCCUUAGUUUUUGAAGGAACAUGGUGCUAUUCCUGGUGCUUUUGGUUAUGAAAAAACUGACAUUAGUCAGGAACUUUCUAAGUACUCUAAUUCUGAAGCUUUGGUUUAUGCGAGAUGUGGCUGAAAGAAGAAAUGAGAUGGUCGAGAUUCUAAUGGAUUUCCCCCAAUUGACAAUGAUAUUUCAUGACAUGAUGUGAAGAGUGGAGCCGCUUAAAGUACAUGGCGAGCUCACCAUGGCCGCCUUUCUUCCUACAGAUUGGGAACCGCCGACCGCGACCCAUGGUGUGUAGAUGAUACACCGGUGAGGUGUUCCAAGGAUGAAGAGGAUCUCACGAUUUUCGGGGAUGAGGAGGAUCUUGCGAUUUUCAGAUUUCAAGUGUCUACACACUAUAUGUAGUAAGUUUUUUAGAGAAGUAGUCAAAUUAAAUCUGGAUACCAAUUUAUUGGAACAUUAUAUUUCUUACAGAAGUAGUCAAACAACGAUAUCAAUUUGUUGGAACCAUCAAGGAGGUGACACUCCUGGAGGGUAUAUAUUCUC